GAGAGUUGAUAUUGAUGCUGGCCAGGAAGAAGCUGCAGUAAAUAGAAUCUUGGAAGAACUGGCUAGGGAAAUGCAUGCAUCAGUUGGUGUAAGAAUGCACAGGUUAAAUGUUUGUGAGUGGGAAGUGAAGCUCUGGAUGUCAUCAUCUGGACAAGCAAAUGGUGCUUGGAGAGUUGUCAUCACAAAUGUAACUGGUCACACCUGUGCUGUACAUAUAUACCGGGAACUAGAGGAUACCUGCAAACGAGGAGUGGUGUACCAUUCGAUCUCUGUACAUGGUCCUC
RNAcentral lists this unclassified non-coding RNA (284 nucleotides) under Hevea brasiliensis (rubber tree). The record is from RNAcentral. Lineage: Eukaryota; Viridiplantae; Streptophyta; Magnoliopsida; Malpighiales; Euphorbiaceae.